AAAACGGCCCUUUUCAGGGCCACUAAAUUUAAUAAAGGCUUAUACU
Molecule: non-coding RNA, 46 nt
Organism: Macrostomum lignano
Lineage: Eukaryota; Metazoa; Platyhelminthes; Macrostomidae
Source: Rfam